CCCUACGGCCUACAUAAUCACAUUCAUGUAGUUCAUAGUACAUAUCUAAUUUAUUGUAUUAUUGAAAUGGCACUGGAAACUUUUGCAGUUAAAUAUAUGUAGGAUAUAGGUGAUAUAACUGAUCAAGUAUUUGAAAUUGAUUUGUUAUAAAAUAUAAAUUUGUAUUAUUUUCUUUACGUAUUGUAAUAAUGGUAAAAUUUUUUGAAAAUAAAAGUUUAUUCCCAUUCAGAUGGGAUCAAGUUGUUCAUGGUUUUUGGCAUCGUUAUCCUAACCCAGAAAGCAAGCAUGUAUUAUCCGAGGAUGUGUUACAUAGAGAAGUGAAAGAAAAAAAAUUACAUUCUAUUAGGUUAUUCACAAAAACUAACAAGUUACCAAAAUGGGGUGAACGUUUUAUAAAUACUAAUGUUGUAAAAAUUGUUGAAGAAUCAAUUUUAGAUCCUUCAAAAAAGACAUUGGUAACAUAUACAAGAAAUGUUGGAUAUGCAAGUGUUAUGGGUGUGACAGAAAAAGUUGUUUAUAAAGUCAAUGAAGAAAAUCCAAGUACUACAGUGGCAGAGAGAUCAGUGUGGAUUGAAUCAAAUGUGUAUGGAAUGUCUAAAGCUAUUCAAGCAUUUGGAAUGCAACGAUUUAAAGUUAACAGUACUAAAGCAGUAAAAGGAUUUAAUUAUGUACUCAAUAGUAUGUAUGGUAGUAAUACUUCAAGUUCAUCUGGUGUAUUAUUACAUCAGAAAGAAAAAUUAAAGGAUGCUCUUAAACAAACAAAUUACAAAACUGGAACUCUUUAUGUUCAUUAAACCAAUUCCUAUUUGAGAUUUCACCAAACUUAUUAAGAUCAAUAAAAUGUGAUAACAUAAUUAUGUAUUCUUAUCAGUUCAACAAUUUUAACCAGAUUAAAAUACUCUUCAAUCUUAUGUGGUUACUGUCAACAAUAGUAUUUUAUUAGAAUACAAUAUAAUUAUUUUAAAUAAGAGAUCUUUGUUUGUCUUGAUUAAAUUGUCCAUUUAAUUUAUACAAUAUUAAAUUUGUUAUCCAAUAAUUUGUAUAAGUGAUUUAAUUUUUAUUUCAUUAUAAUUUUAUAAGAAAUUACUGAUAUCAUUAUAAUAUUAUAUAGAUGAAUAAAAUGUCUUCUAUGUUAAAUUUUUUAAUAUUGAACACAUUAUUAUGUAAUAACUGUUUAUUGUUUUAUUAUACAAUUUGAAUAUGAUAUAUCUAUUGUACAACAUGUUUGGUGGUGGUACAAUUUUUCUAAUUUGUCAAUAUAAUUAAUUUAUUAAAAGAUA
Rhopalosiphum padi (bird cherry-oat aphid) is the source of this 1280-nucleotide RNA transcript. It is a transcript of the gene named PRELI domain-containing protein 1, mitochondrial, with no coding region annotated. The record is from RefSeq and is a predicted model, not a curated record. The transcript is spliced from 5 exons. Lineage: Eukaryota; Metazoa; Arthropoda; Insecta; Hemiptera; Aphididae.